AAAAUGGUGAACAACACUCGAAACGCUUCAACUUUGAGCAACUUUCUUAAGUCCAGUAGACAGGUCUGAUUGCCUUGUCAAGCUCAAUAAAAUGAGAAUUAAAUCAUUAUUUGGCAGAAAGCAGAUGUAGCGCUGUCACAUUACCAGACUGAAUUGGCCAAGAAAGAAAGGUCCCUCUUCAAAUUUCAAAAGAGCAGUUUCAAUAUAGUCAAAUGCAGCACCUGCUUUAACAUACCACCAUAUCUACAUUAACAUAUAUCCAACUUCAAUACCAUCAAAAGAAGUAGUUACUGCUGAACUCACCGGCAGCUGCCUCAGUUCCAUCUCCUUUGAAAAAUGAGAACACAGAAGUGUUGAAGGAGUCGGUGUAGGAAAACAACUCUUCUGCAAAUUCUCUCUCUGCAGGAUCCUAUAUAUACAGAUGAUGAGCUUUUGUAAUAUAGAGAGUAGUCAAUAUGAGCAACAAACGAAUUUACAAGUCUUACAUCUGGGAACAGUGAAGGCCCUUCAAAGUUACAGUCCAUAUACUUGAUCAAAUCAAGGCUCUCUACUAUGACUUCAUUAUUGUGUUCCAGUGAUGGCACCUGCAUUCAGAUUCCUCAUCAGUAGACAGCAGUUACGUAACCUCACAAGUUAGAGCUUAUUCCUAGCUAGGUACAUUAACUCUAGCUUAUUUCUGAACUUUUCUAAAACUGAUCCUGUGCAACAUAAUGCCAAGCCUGGUGAGGGUAUCUAUGAUCUCUACAUCAAGGAUGUACUUAGACAGUUAGAUGUCUGAUGGAAUGACAGCAUUCCAUAAUUUAUGUUGCAACUUAUUACUAUAUAUCUCUUUAUUAGGGGUUUGCUACAUCGUGUAACUACUACUUUAAGCUUUAGAGGAUGAACAGUUCAAUCGAUCUAUGCAUUAAAAUGCAGCAACAGAAGCAUGUGUAAAACCUUAUAUAUAGUUAUUUAAAUGCAGCAACAUAGUUAUUCACAAAAUCUGACCUUGUUAGUAGAGUUCACUUUUUCUUUGUACCAAGAAGGCCUGUCUAGCAGAUCAAGAGGAACCAAUUCUAUCUUUUCCUCCAAUCCCUGUUCCCAUCAAUCGACAAGGAUUAAAAGGUUUAACCUUGCAGCGAAAACCAGAAUAACCAAAGUACCAUUACAAUCAAUAUUGUUAGUAAUUUCCACACACAAGCAAGCAUUAAGACUUCUCCAUAACAACACAAACAUAAACAUCCAGUUUGGUAGCUCAAAAAAGCAUUCAAUAUUUGCAAAGCUAAAAAGCAUGACGUUUAGAGAUUUCAUUUCUCAAAAUUUUAUGCAAGCCAUUCAGAAGGUAAAUCAGAAAGAGACCAAAUUCAUUUAGUACCAGGCUAUGAAGUGAUUAAGAAACAACCUUACAAUUCCGGACAAUCCAUGCGCGCUGAGCAAAUGGGCAUGUGUAGGAUACAUACAACCUUCAACACAUAAAAACCCAACAUUUCCAAUUGUUAGAUGCUUCCAUUCACACAAACUCAUCCAUAUAAUGAGACCUAUGCAGUUGCAUGAAACAAACACAUUGACUACAAGAACUUGCACACUGCAUAAGCAAACCAAAAAACAAUUGCAACUUGAAAACCAAGUAGUCUACACCAACCUUGUUUUCCCAUCAAAGAGUGUAGGUGGGACUGAGCUGGAAGUAAGAGCUGGUGGAAGAACCUCUUGUACACUUUUUACCAAACAAGCAACACCGAAAUAAGAUGCACAGAUUCUUAAGUAUGUCACAACUUUUAGUUACUGAGUUAUAUAAAAUGGAAAGUAGUUAACUUUGCAUAUUUAUGUAAAUUCACACUUUCUUAGCAAGAAUAAACUUUACAUGAGACUGGUGACAUUACCCGGUUGCCACUAUUGCAGAGACUGAAGCUCUGGUCUUCUUCCCAAAAGAAGCUUGAAGAACAAGCUUAGGAUGACAUAGUAUAGUGGUGUUUGGAAACUUGGGUAUCAAUGAUUUCUUGGGGAGAGAAAAUGUGACUGAAUCUGAAAAGCGAUGCCGGGAAGUUUGAGGUGAUGAAGAAGCAGGAAGAGCAGUGCCUCUGAAACUUACUUUCAAAGUUGUCAUCGUUCUUUGGUUUGGUUUGAGAGUUCGUUAUGUUCUUGACUACUUGUAUAUUGUCGGAGGAGAGAGAAAACAAAGUAGGUGGGCUAAUUAUAUAUUCCACCCUCAAGGCACUAUCAGAUUGCACCAUAUAACUAGAGCAACCUCCCACCUAAAUGGUCAAACUGAAAAGUUGAGAAAGUUGAUAUCGCAGUAUGCCAAGUUGCCAACUAGAGUAGUGCAGUGACCAUUUGCAACAAGUUUGCCUCACAGAACAUGCAAUUUUGAGUCAUGUGAUGGACUCGAAAUAAGCAACCAUGGACAUGAUGUCUCGAACAUUUAGCCAAAUUACCGGGUUCGAAAUGUGAUCUGAGACCUUCUUACGUUACAUUUAUUUCUCAGAGCUCACAUUAUUGGUAGAAUGAAAAUGUUACGAGGAAUGAGUGAGGGGGGUUUAGACUUUGGAAAGAUGAUUUCAACAAUGGAACUUCUGAAUCUGAUAUACAAAUAAUAAGCUGCAGAUACAAGGUAUCAGGCAAAGGCAAUGUCUGGCUAUAUGAUAUGGUUCACCAUAUGUAGUACUUUACAGCGGCAUACAAAGAUAUGAGAAAUGGAAGCCAAAUUUGGAACAUCAAGCAACCCUCCCAACUUGUUUCUGCACAUUCAGGGCUGAGGCUGCAUAAUCAAUGCAUUUAAGACUUAAGUACAAGUAUUGGCAGCAACUUAUUUAGAACUCACUUCUUAAGAUGCAGCAAGAAGAAACUAACGGAAAAGCGUUUCUUGUAAAUUUCAACGAGCUCUUUGGGAUCACGUCUGGUCUUAUUGAAACCUUCAUUUUUGUUCAUCUCAUACAAAAUUGAUAUAUAGUCCCAUGAGUAGUGCUUUCAGUGGAUUUGAGAUGAAUCUUUUGCAUUGCAAGUGACACAUGCUAUUGCGGGAUUCAUAUCUUUAAGAUUUAUAAUGCCAAUGCGUACAGGAAGAUCACUUAAAUAAUAUUGUACCUCAAUCCAUGCUGCUAGUUUAGGUGUCCCUGCAGUGAUGUCAUACUUCUUGACAUCCAAUGCAAAAUGCUGAAAUCUUAUCAAUGAAUGGUGCAUAAGCAAUGUCCACCUGAUAGAUAAGAACAACAUUUGAAACUAUCCAUAUGAUAGAGCAACUAAAGCCAUGAAAGAUAUUUUAUUUAGAUCAGUAGUGUUAACCAUAGCCUCUGCCCACUUUAGUUGAAUGAAGUUGUGGAAAUUCCGAGCGACUUGUCGUUAGUACGUAGCUCUCCAGAUUACCCCAACGUAUAGGCAGGGAAACUCCCUGCUGCAUGACUUUGAUCUUGUAUAUAGUUUAAGUCUUGGUCAAUCUGUAAUGUGUAGUAGAGUGCUACAGUCCAAUUCCACAAACCCAAUAAAUUAAGCUCCGGUCUCUGUACGUAAUUGAGUAAUUAAGUCUAGCUAGUCUCUGUAUUCUGUAAAGUUGGAAACGAUCACGUCAAGAAACUCCAUUAAUUAAAAGCAUAUAGACUUUGGUACUGUGAAUCUGGAAUGCGCUGGUCUUUUCUGAUCUCUCUCCAUGGGAACAACUGGGAUUAGGAGCCUGUCCCUGCAGUGUGCUUGGGUUUCAAUUGUAACCUUUUUGGUUCUUGGCUCAUCUGGUCAUAAAGAUAAGUGUGUCCCUUCUUCUUGCGGCGACAUCCACAACAUAAGCUACCCAUUUCGACUACAGCAUGAUCCAGAGCACUGUGGCGACUUAAACCACACUUUGGAAUGUGACCACAACAACAUCACAGUGCUGCGCCUAUUUUCUCAAGAGUACUACGUCAAGGUCAUUGACUACAACUACGACAACAGCACAAUCCGUGUGGUGGAUCCUGGCCUUGAGAAGAACAACUGCUCUUCCCUUCCUCGUUUUCCUCUGGGCCUAUCGAGCUUCAGACCUUAUUAUCAUAGAUACCCUUCUUGGCAACCAUACGCAGAUCCAGUAAUUUUCUUGAAAUGUGCAAAUCCAGUGAAUUCUUCUUUGUAUGUGAGCACGGCUCCCUGUAUUAACUCCGAAAUGUAUGGUUAUGCCGUUCGAGGCAGAAUCUACCCCGAAGAUGUGGAGAAUGGGUGCACUGUAUAUUGGAUGGGUCUGACCACUUGGAUGCCCUUCGAGGAGGACGGAAACGUUUCCUAUCAAGAUAUACACGAUCAAAUGGUGUACGGCUUCGAGCUUGUGUAUGCUGACUAUUGCCACGGUCAAUGGAAUAUGCCUUUUCACGGCUCACCUUUUCACAGUUCAACAUGUUAUCCGCGCAGCAUACGAGGUAUAUACUGUCGAUCGAGUACGCCAUGAUUUCUCUAUUUUGAUUUUACGAAUAACUGUGCUAAUUAGUUAUGUACAUUCUUUGUCAUGCACUCUAGGUUUCUUUCUUAUUGGUUGGGCGGCGUUCACCGGUAAGUGUCAUUUCUCUCAACGUACUUUCUAUACAUCCACUAAUUUAUUGUCAACGAGAUCGAUGGUUGUCUCUCAUAUUACAUAUAUGGCCUUGCACUUUCAAGACUUAAUAUACAGGCCAAGCACCUAAUUAAUUAUGUAGAAUUUGUGCUGCAAUUAAACCCAGCUCCUUCAAAUCUUUUGCAGCUUAUUGGGAUAUCGAGAGUAUUAUCGCUGGCAGUGUUGUAGGGGGAAAAAUUAUAUUUGGAGGUCCAUUUGUGAUCGCACUUCUGAUAUAUAAGUGGCGAAGAAGGCAUUGGUCAACCUACAGCACAAUAGAAGACUUUCUGCAUUCUGACAAUUUCAUGCCUAUAAGGUACUCCUACUCCAACAUUAAGAAAAUGUCAGCUGGAUUCAAAGAUAAGUUAGGCGUAGGGGGUUAUGGUUCUGUAUUUAAAUGCAAAUUACGGAGUGGCCACUUUGGAGCCAUUAAGUUGUUAGACAAGUCUAACGCUAAUGGGGAAGAUUUCAUGAGUGAAGUAGCUACUAUUGGAAGGAUUCACCAUGUCAAUGUGGUGCAGCUUGUUGGUUACUGUGUCGAGGGUUCAAAGCGCGCCUUAGUAUAUGAUUUCAUGCCAAAUGGUUCUCUUGAUAGAUACAUUUACUCCAAAGAAGAAUCCAUCACUUUAAGUUACAAGAAAAUGUAUGAGAUUGCAGUUGGAGUCGCUCAAGGUAUUGAAUAUUUGCAUCAAGGUUGUGAAAUGCAAAUUUUGCAUUUUGAUAUCAAGCCUCAUAAUAUCCUACUUGAUGAGAAUUUUGUCCCAAAGAUUUCUGACUUUGGGCUAGCGAAACUAUAUCCAGCAAACAAUAGCAUUGUCUCAUCAAUGGCAGCAAGAGGCACCAUGGGAUACAUUGCUCCUGAGUUGUUUUAUAAAAACAUUGGUGGUGUUUCGUACAAAGCUGAUGUUUAUAGUUUUGGAAUGUUGUUGAUGGAAAUGGCAAGCAGAAGGAAAAAUCUUAAUGCAUAUGUAGAUCACUCUAGCCAAAUUUACUUCCCCUCAUGGGUGCAUGAUCAAUAUAAUGAGGGGAAGGACUUGGAGAUUGGGGAUGCUACAGCAGAGGAGAAGAAAUUAAUUAGAAAAAUGAUAGUAGUUGCCUUGUGGUGUAUUCAAAUGAAACCAAGUGAUCGACCUUCAAUGAAGAGAGUUACACAGAUGCUCGUAGGAGAUGUUGAGAACCUAGAAAUGCCACCAAAGCCUUCUCUAUGCCCACAACCGACGCCUGUAAGCAAUCUGAUUCCAACAUGUUCAAAUGUGGAGCAAACAUGUACUCUUUCUGCUAGGUGAUGAUAGCUGGCUACCAUUCAUUCACUCUACUUCGUGUAGCUUAUGAAAUUUCAGAUUGUCUUAGAAUUGUAGAUUAUUGUAGUUUUAAAGAUGAACUGCCAAGAAAGUUGAAAUAUUGUACUCCGUCAUUACUUUGCUGCCUCAUGGUUUAUGUAUAAAUGUGCCUUGUAACUUUCAUAUUUACUUUCCAUACCCUAUGGUUUCUGAAGAAGUAUUUCUUUACAGAUUUCUCAACCUAAUAGUUUCAAAGCUCAAAGCCUCCAAACAAAGGCCUAAUUUGGAUUUGUUUACGGUCUUACAGAUAAAUAGACUGAAAAUUAAAGAUUGUUCCACAAAACUUAUUUAAGUUUAUAUCGAUGAAAAAGGCUUAUUUAGACCUUCUUACAUUAUUGGUAGAAUGAAAAUGUUACGAGGAAUGAGUGAGGGGGGUUUAGACUUUUGGAAAGAUGAUUUCAACAAUGGAACUUCUGAUUCUGAUAUACAAAUAAUAAGCUGCAGAUACAAGGUAUCAGUCCUCGGCAAUGUCUGGCUAUAUGACAUGGUUCACCAUAUUCCCAGAAGCAUUAUUAGUGCUUUACAGCGGCAUACAAAGAUACGAGAAAUGGAAGCCAAAUUUGGAACAUCAAGCAACCCUUCCAACUUGUUUCUGCACAUUCAGGGCUGAGGCUGCAUAAUCAAUGCAUUUAAGACUUAAGUACAAGUAUUGGCAGCAACUUAUUUAGAACUCACUCUUAAGAUGAAGCAAGAAGAAACUAACCGAAAAGCGUUUCUUGUAGAUUUCAACGAGCUCUUUGGGAUCACGUCUGGUCUUAUUGAAACCUUCAUUUUUGUUCAUCUCCUACAAAAUUGAUAUAUCCAUGAGUAGUGCUUUCAGGGGAUUUGAGAUGAAUCUUUUGCAUUGCAAGUGACGCAUACUAUUGCAGGAUUCAUAUCUUUAAGAUUUAGAAUGCCAAUGCGUACAGGAAGAUCACUUAAAUCAUAUUGUACCUCAAUCCAUGCUGCUAGUUUAGGUCUCCCUGCAGUGAUGUCAUACUUCUUGACAUCCAAUGCAAAAUGCUGAAAUCUAUCAAUGAAUGGUGCAUAAGCAAUGUCCACCUGAAAGAUAAGAUCAACAUUUGAAACUUUCCAUAUGAUAGAGCGACUUUUGAUAAGUUCAGUAGACAGGUUUUCAUUGCCUAUACGGCGCAAGACAUAUGGGAACUGAAACGGUUAUUACUAGAAAGCAUAUUACCAGACUGAAUUGGCCAAGAAAGAAAGGUCCAUCUUCAAAUUUGGAAAGAGCAGUUUCAAUAUAGUCAAAUGCAGC
RNAcentral lists this long non-coding RNA (7114 nucleotides) under Fragaria vesca (wild strawberry). Its description in RNAcentral is "long non-coding RNA (FVES_LNC003797)". The record is from RNAcentral. Lineage: Eukaryota; Viridiplantae; Streptophyta; Magnoliopsida; Rosales; Rosaceae.